AUUGAACGCUAGCGGGAUGCUUUACACAUGCAAGUCGAACGGCAGCGCGGACUUCGGUCUGGCGGCGAGUGGCGAACGGGUGAGUAAUGUAUCGGAACGUGCCCAGUAGCGGGGGAUAACUACGCGAAAGCGUAGCUAAUACCGCAUACGCCCUACGGGGGAAAGCAGGGGAUCGUAAGACCUUGCACUAUUGGAGCGGCCGAUAUCGGAUUAGCUAGUUGGUGAGGUAACGGCUCACCAAGGCGACGAUCCGUAGCUGGUUUGAGAGGACGACCAGCCACACUGGGACUGAGACACGGCCCAGACUCCUACGGGAGGCAGCAGUGGGGAAUUUUGGACAAUGGGGGCAACCCUGAUCCAGCCAUCCCGCGUGUGCGAUGAAGGCCUUCGGGUUGUAAAGCACUUUUGGCAGGAAAGAAACGUCGCGGGCUAAUACCCCGUGGAACUGACGGUACCUGCAGAAUAAGCACCGGCUAACUACGUA
This 484-nucleotide ribosomal RNA is filed under the name uncultured bacterium. RNAcentral describes it as "partial 16S ribosomal RNA". It matches the Rfam family "Bacterial small subunit ribosomal RNA", at positions 30 to 507 of the family's 1533-position model. The record is from RNAcentral.